This 247-nucleotide ribosomal RNA is filed under the name uncultured bacterium. RNAcentral describes it as "partial 16S ribosomal RNA". It matches the Rfam family "Bacterial small subunit ribosomal RNA", at positions 86 to 334 of the family's 1533-position model. The record is from RNAcentral.
AGAUGGCGACCGGCGCACGGGUGAGUAACACGUAUCCAACCUGCCGAUAACUCGGGGAUAGCCUUUCGAAAGAAAGAUUAAUACCCGAUGGUAUAAUCAGACCGCAUGGUUUGAUUAUUAAAGAAUUUCGGUUAUCGAUGGGGAUGCGUUCCAUUAGGCAGUUGGUGAGGUAACGGCUCACCAAACCUUCGAUGGAUAGGGGUUCUGAGAGGAAGGUCCCCCACAUUGGAACUGAGACACGGACCAA